Molecule: long non-coding RNA, 883 nt
Organism: Cyprinus carpio carpio
Lineage: Eukaryota; Metazoa; Chordata; Actinopteri; Cypriniformes; Cyprinidae
Source: Ensembl
UUUUAGUUGUAUUUGCUUUUACUGUGAAUAAGAUCCUAGAACGAACGCCACACGUUUGUAUUUAAAUUCUGCUCUGCUUUCUGUUAUGAUGAUGCCAACAAUCAUGCAAACCCCCUGCCGAUACUAAAAUAGUAUCAAUAAACAUCACAUUGUAUGUGUAUUCCUUUAGACUAAUUCAACAGAGAGUUUAGAAAUCAGCACAGUGUAGCUGGUUAUUACCCACAAUGCCUUAGUUUGUCGUUAUAGGGCAGUUUAUCAGAGCGAAUGUGCGAUGCAGAUACCAGAGGCCAUAAAAAGGAGAAUCAUGUCUUCUGAUAAACAUGCAAAUGAUUCCUAAUGCUAAAAUUACACAAAUUUCGUACAGCUCCAGGGCAAAGCAGCUUCUUAGAAAUCGUUCAGACAGACGGACACAGAUGCUCUAAGAGACUCCGGUCACUUCUGUGAGACACGGACAUGGACACGGACAUGGUCAGCAACAAUACUCAGUGUAAUCUGAUCAGAGUCUAAACAAGCCUGGAUGAAGGAAAGAGGAUGAACCUGUCUGAACGUUACGAACAUAUAGACACGUCUUCAGGUCACAUCUGAUGACGACAGUGUGACCUUUCACACACACACACAAGUGUCACAUCUCAUGAAGAUGCAGAGACUUCACUGAAGAUCUAAUAAUGCCUGUGAUUAGUGAAGCUUUGUCGAGCAGCUGGAGAAGUGUUUGUGUUUGCUGUUAAUUCAACUCCAGACUCUAAUUUCAGGGGCCUCCAGUCUUCGUAAAAAGACCCGCUGACAGCCGACACGUGUGGCAACAUUUCCCAGCGCCCCUCCUGAUCCAUUAACUACAGCCAUCCUGAAGUGCCCCGCUCUUUAAUGCUCAGAGCUUGACUUAUGA